This 272-nucleotide ribosomal RNA is filed under the name uncultured Thermobacillus sp. RNAcentral's name for it is "partial 16S ribosomal RNA". It matches the Rfam family "Bacterial small subunit ribosomal RNA", at positions 524 to 796 of the family's 1533-position model. The record is from RNAcentral. Lineage: Bacteria; Bacillati; Bacillota; Bacilli; Caryophanales; Paenibacillaceae.
UACGUAGGGGGCGAGCGUUGUCCGGAAUUAUUGGGCGUAAAGCGCGCGCAGGCGGUUCUUUAAGUCCGGUGUUUAAGCCCGGGGCUCAACCUCGGGACGCACGGGAAACUGGGGGACUGGAGUGCAGGAGAGGGAAGCGGAAUUCCACGUGUAGCGGUGAAAUGCGUAGAGAUGUGGAGGAACACCAGUGGCGAAGGCGGCUUCCUGGCCUGUAACUGACGCUGAGGCGCGAAAGCGUGGGGAGCAAACAGGAUUAGAAACCCGCGUAGUCC